Molecule: ribosomal RNA, 253 nt
Filed under: uncultured bacterium
Lineage: Bacteria
Description: partial 16S ribosomal RNA
Rfam family: Bacterial small subunit ribosomal RNA
Source: RNAcentral
UACGUAGGUGACAAGCGUUGUCCGGAUUUACUGGGCGUAAAGAGCGCGCAGGCGGUCGUUCAAGUCGAGUGUGAAAGCCCCCGGCUCAACUGGGGAGGGUCAUUCGAUACUGAUCGACUCGAAGGCAGGAGAGGGUAGUGGAAUUCCCGGUGUAGUGGUGAAAUGCGUAGAUAUCUGGAGGAACACCGGUGGCGAAGGCGGCAUUCUGGACUGUAACUGACACUGAUGAACGAAAGCCAGGGGAGCAAACGGG